This 107-nucleotide small nucleolar RNA is filed under the name Nelumbo nucifera (sacred lotus). Its description in RNAcentral is "Plant small nucleolar RNA R71". It matches the Rfam family "Plant small nucleolar RNA R71". Rfam says of the family: R71 is a member of the C/D box family of snoRNAs containing the C (UGAUGA) and D (CUGA) box motifs. The record is from Rfam by way of RNAcentral. Lineage: Eukaryota; Viridiplantae; Streptophyta; Magnoliopsida; Proteales; Nelumbonaceae.
AAGCCAUGAUGUGGGCAUUUUCUCAUUAACUCCUUCAUUCUCCCACAAGCCUCAUGAAUUUGUUCACCCGGUGUUUGGGUGAAUCAAGUGAUGGCUCUUCUCAUGGU